This 494-nucleotide ribosomal RNA is filed under the name uncultured bacterium. Its description in RNAcentral is "partial 16S ribosomal RNA". It matches the Rfam family "Bacterial small subunit ribosomal RNA", at positions 30 to 506 of the family's 1533-position model. The record is from RNAcentral.
UGAACGCUGGCGGCGUGCCUACUACAUGCAAGUCGAGCGAACAGACGAGGAGCUUGCUCCUCUGACGUUAGCGGCGGACGGGUGAGUAACACGUGGAUAACCUACCUAUAAGACUGGGAUAACUUCGGGAAACCGGAGCUAAUACCGGAUAAUAUAUUGAACCGCAUGGUUCAAUAGUGAAAGACGGUUUUGCUGUCACUUAUAGAUGGAUCCGCGCCGCAUUAGCUAGUUGGUAAGGUAACGGCUUACCAAGGCAACGAUGCGUAGCCGACCUGAGAGGGUGAUCGGCCACACUGGAACUGAGACACGGUCCAGACUCCUACGGGAGGCAGCAGUAGGGAAUCUUCCGCAAUGGGCGAAAGCUUGACGGAGCAACGCCGCGUGAGUGAUGAAGGUCUUCGGAUCGUAAAACUCUGUUAUUAGGGAAGAACAAAUGUGUAAGUAACUAUGCACGUCUUGACGGUACCUAAUCAGAAAGCCACGGCUAACUACGU